CCCUGUGAAAAAAUUCAAAACGUGCCAUAUGUUUCAAAAUCAAUGCCAUGAAACAUACUUAUUUAGUUAUUCUAUUUUAGCGACAAGGAAAAGCGAAAUUAUAUUCACCCAGAAAAGGAAGCAACAUCAGAUAAAACGGAAGGCUGUAUGGAAUCAGGCACUCCCCCAAUCCAAAUUGACACAACACCAUCAUCAAUGUUGGGGAAACUAGCCAAAUGAUGAGCCGCCAUGUUGGCUAUCCUAGGAACAAAGUCAUAACUCAGUAGAACCAUCAAUAACCUCUAAGAUGAAUAGCCCCAGUUGAGAUAAAAACAUAUUUAUAAUUGUUGAAACAUAGAGUUUUUUCCCAUCAAUUUGUACCUGUUAGAAAUU
Molecule: unclassified non-coding RNA, 372 nt
Filed under: Hevea brasiliensis (rubber tree)
Lineage: Eukaryota; Viridiplantae; Streptophyta; Magnoliopsida; Malpighiales; Euphorbiaceae
Source: RNAcentral